CUCCGACUUUUCUUUCCCUCGCCGAAAAACCAGCUCCAGGCUCCAGCAGUAGCCAGUAGGCAACUUCCAAUUUCAUUAUACUAUUGCUCCCGCUAGGGUUCCAGCCUCCUCCAUGGAGUCCUCGUCCGCUCGUAGAUCCUUCACCAGCCGCCUUUUAGUUUUAGGUCCGCCUCUCCUCCCGCAGCCGGGAGUGCUUGGUCUUGGGCGCGCCUGGCCGCCUGCAUGCGCCGAGGGUUUGAGUUAUUGCAUGUGGUGGCACCAAGCAUGAGGCAACAACUGCAUUACUUUCAAGGAAGUUACAAAAUCUAUGGGUCUUCAUAAUCGUGACUUUCUUGCAAGUUGUGCAGUUGCUGUCUCAAGCUUGCUGACUCCGUCUGCCAGACCGCAAUGUGAAAUAGGAAAUUUAGUCAGGUAAAUACUGGAAACAUGGACCCAUGGAGCAUUUCUUCACCGCGUCACCCCUCCACACCUUAAAAAGAACUCAUUUGAAGGCUAGUCCAGCCUCCCUGAAACUUACAUUCACAGACAUUCUCAACUGAGAUGAAGCCACAGAUCUUUGUAUGUUGUAUGUGGACGAAGAACAAACAGAUUAACUCUUGUUCACGUCCCUCCUCAUGUACACUUGUAGUUCUAUUCUAGGAUUUCAACUCUGCACUCCAUCUGCAUCCUGAAUAUUCAGAGUCUCAAAUUUGCACAACUCUCGAUUUGAUUCAGUGAACAAGUCAAUAAGAUAGAUUUUUGGUCGAGGAUAGGUUGAAUAGGUCUGUACUUGCUUAAUGAUGCUAUUCUUUUGACUUUUGAGUAUGGAUGACACGCUGUGUCAGUCUUUGAUCAAAAUGAGAAGAUGCGUGAUUGA
RNAcentral lists this precursor RNA (856 nucleotides) under Hordeum vulgare. Its description in RNAcentral is "precursor microRNA 444.2a2". The stretch from base 253 to 372 matches the Rfam family "MIR444 microRNA precursor family". The record is from RNAcentral. Lineage: Eukaryota; Viridiplantae; Streptophyta; Magnoliopsida; Poales; Poaceae.